GUCCUUUUGAUNUUAAUUUAAGGUCUNACCUGCCCACUGAAAUUUUUUGAAGGGCCGCAGUAAUUUGACUGUGCAAAGGUAGCAUAAUCAUUAGUUUUUUAAUUGAAAGCUUGUAUGAAGGGUUGGACGAGGUAAAUUCUGUCUCUAUUUAAUUUUAUUUAGAAUUUAAUUUUUAAGUUAAAAAGCUUAAAUUUAUUUAAAAGACGAGAAGACCCUAUAGAUCUUUAUAUUAAAAAUAUUAAUUUUAAUUAAGAAUAUUUAAUUUUUUAAUGUUUAUAAUAUUUUAUUGGGGUAAUAAAAAGAUUAAAAUAAUUCUUUUUUUAUUUUAACAUUAAUUUAUGAUUAUAUGAUCCAAUUUUAUUGAUUAAAAGAUUAAGUUACCUUAGGGAUAACAGCGUAAUUUUUUUAGAGAGUUCAUAUCGAUAAAAAAGUUUGCGACCUCGAUGUUGGAUUAAAAAUUAUCUUAGGUG
RNAcentral lists this ribosomal RNA (470 nucleotides) under Agabus strigulosus. RNAcentral's name for it is "partial 16S ribosomal RNA". Lineage: Eukaryota; Metazoa; Arthropoda; Insecta; Coleoptera; Dytiscidae. The record is from RNAcentral.